UUCGUAGGGGGCAAGCGUUGUCCGGAUUCAUUGGGCGUAAAGAGCGUGUAGGCGGCCAGGUAGGUCGGUUGUGAAAACUGGAGGCUCAACCUUCAGAGGUCGACCGAAACCAUCUGGCUAGAGUCCGGGAGAGGAGAGUGGAAUUCCUGGUGUAGCGGUGAAAUGCGCAGAUAUCAGGAAGAACACCCGUGGCGAAAGCGGCUCUCUGGAACGGUACUGACGCUGAGACGCGAAAGCGUGGGGAGCGAACAGG
RNAcentral lists this ribosomal RNA (253 nucleotides) under uncultured bacterium. Its description in RNAcentral is "partial 16S ribosomal RNA". It matches the Rfam family "Bacterial small subunit ribosomal RNA", at positions 524 to 776 of the family's 1533-position model. The record is from RNAcentral.